Molecule: long non-coding RNA, 1011 nt
Filed under: Fragaria vesca (wild strawberry)
Lineage: Eukaryota; Viridiplantae; Streptophyta; Magnoliopsida; Rosales; Rosaceae
Description: long non-coding RNA (FVES_LNC004788)
Source: RNAcentral
AAGAGCGACCCUUUCAGUCCCCAACUCCUCAUACAUAUAGAGAACAUAUGAACAGCUGCUAUUAGGGUUAGAGAACCUUUAAUUUUCGUUCAUGGGCUCGCCGUUGUGGUCUGGGCUUUGAAAUUGAAGUUCCGGUCCAAAUCAGAAAUUCGGGCAGACUGACCUUUGGUCACUCAAACGGUCAUAACUUGGUCACCAAAAUAGCUAUUGACGAUCUGCGAAAAGUUCUGAAAACUAGACUCUUCUUGCUUUCUGCUGAUAUAAAGUUCAUCUCCUGGAUCGUUGUGAGCUGAUCACAAUUCUCUGUCGAAGUUGACUGACUAUUCCUGGCAGAUUUUCUGAUUUCUUUCCUUGCGCCAUAUGGAUUCCUUUUCCUUCAAGAUUUCUCCUCUUUUGCCUCUUUUGUGCUCCUCGGCUUUAUUUGUGACCUAAAAACACAAACUAAGUUAAAAUCAAUAUUGUUAAAGGAAUUACAUAACUAAAUAGGGUCGGAAAUACAUUAAGAACGUUGCAUAGAAUGCACCUAUCAAACGUCCCACAAAAAUUUAAGCUGUUCAAUCAAAGGUCUCAAAUACACAUCGAGACACUUUCCUGGAUAACCGGGCCCCGGAAUCAACAAACUCAACAUAUUGUAUUCCUUCUUCAUACACAUCCAUGGAGGAAGGUUGUACGGUACCAAAAUCACCGGCCAUACACUGUAUGAAGACUCAUGUUGCCAAAAGGGUUGAACCCGUCGGAUGAGAGCCCGAGCCUCACAUUUCGGACCUCUGACGCAAAAUGAGGAAACUCCUUGUCUAUAUGCUUCCAAGCCUCCCCGUCAGCAGGGUGUAUAAGGGUAUCUUCGUCAUGCAAUUCCCUAUCAGCAUGCCAUCUCAUAGCUUCGGCCAUGUGUGAAGACAUGUACAACCGCUCCAGCCUAUCCCUCAAAGGGAAAUACCGAAGUACCUUCACAGGUUUCCUGUUGCCUGUAAGAGUCAGCUUAAACCUGUCAGUGUGACAUACCGGACAUGC